AGCUCUGUAGUAUAAUUACGCAGGAGUGCAAAUCCUGAAAUGCAAUAUAACGUUUGUCGGAGCUU
This 65-nucleotide transfer RNA is filed under the name Microcaecilia unicolor. Its description in RNAcentral is "tRNA-Cys". Lineage: Eukaryota; Metazoa; Chordata; Amphibia; Gymnophiona; Siphonopidae. The record is from RNAcentral.